UUAGAGGCGUUUUUUAACGCCACAAAUCAAUCCUAUUCAUUUGCUA
Non-coding RNA from Spinacia oleracea (spinach), 46 nucleotides. NCBI's taxonomy places the organism in Eukaryota, Viridiplantae, Streptophyta, Magnoliopsida, Caryophyllales, Amaranthaceae. The record is from Rfam.